GCAUAUCAAUAAGCGGAGGAAAAGAAACCAACAGGGAUUGCCCCCAGUAACGGCGAGUGAAGCGGCAACAGCUCAAAUUUGAAAUCUGGCUUCGGCCCGAGUUGUAAUUUGUAGAGGAAGCUUCUGGCGCGGUGCCAUCCGAGUCCCCUGGAACGGGGCGCCAUAGAGGGUGAGAGCCCCGUAUGGAUGGAUGCCUAGCCUGUGUGAAGCUCCUUCGACGAGUCGAGUAGUUUGGGAAUGCUGCUCAAAAUGGGAGGUAAAUUCCUUCUAAAGCUAAAUAUUGGCCAGAGACCGAUAGCGCACAAGUAGAGUGAUCGAAAGAUGAAAAGCACUUUGAAAAGAGGGUUAAACAGCACGUGAAAUUGUUGAAAGGGAAGCGCUUGUGACCAGACUUGCGCCAGGCUGAUCAUCCGGUGUUCUCACCGGUGCACUCUGCCUGGCACAGGCCAGCAUCAGUUUUGGUGGGGGGAUAAAGGGCGCAGGAACGUAGCUCCUCCGGGAGUGUUAUAGCCUGUGUCGUAAUGCCCUCGCCGGGACUGAGGACCGCGCAUCUGCAAGGAUGCUGGCGUAAUGGUUAUCAGCGACCCGUCUUGAAACACGGACCAAGGAGUCAAGGUUUUGCGCGAGUGUUUGGGUGUAAAACCCGCACGCGUAAUGAAAGUGAACGUAGGUGAGAGCUUCGGCGCAUCAUCGACCGAUCCUGAUGUAUUCGGAUGGAUUUGAGUAAGAGCGUUAAGCCUUGGACCCGAAAGAUGGUGAACUAUGCUUGGAUAGGGUGAAGCCAGAGGAAACUCUGGUGGAGGCUCGCAGCGGUUCUGACGUGCAAAUCGAUCGUCAAAUCUGAGCAUGGGGGCGAAAGACUAAUCGAACCAUCUAGUAGCUGGUUACCGCCGA
This 894-nucleotide ribosomal RNA is filed under the name Garciamycella cyclaminis. RNAcentral's name for it is "LSU rRNA". It matches the Rfam family "Eukaryotic large subunit ribosomal RNA", at positions 38 to 964 of the family's 3401-position model. Lineage: Eukaryota; Fungi; Ascomycota; Sordariomycetes; Sordariales; Schizotheciaceae. The record is from RNAcentral.